Molecule: transfer RNA, 71 nt
Filed under: Blastopirellula sp.
Lineage: Bacteria; Pseudomonadati; Planctomycetota; Planctomycetia; Pirellulales; Pirellulaceae
Description: tRNA-Gly
Rfam family: tRNA
About the family: Transfer RNA (tRNA) molecules are approximately 80 nucleotides in length.
Source: RNAcentral
GCGUCCAUGAUGUAGUGGUAGCCUACUGCCUUGCCAUGGCGGAAGUGCGAGUUCGAUUCUCGCUGGACGCU